GGGGUAUUAGCUCAGUUGGUAGAGCGUCAGGUUCGCAAUCUGAAGGUCAGGGGUUCGAUCCCCCUAUGCUCCA
Molecule: transfer RNA, 73 nt
Filed under: Bacteroides sp. CAG:1060_57_27
Lineage: Bacteria; Pseudomonadati; Bacteroidota; Bacteroidia; Bacteroidales; Bacteroidaceae
Also listed under: 7 other names
Description: tRNA-Ala
Rfam family: tRNA
About the family: Transfer RNA (tRNA) molecules are approximately 80 nucleotides in length. Their secondary structure includes four short double-helical elements and three loops (D, anti-codon, and T loops).
Source: RNAcentral